UGGAGAGAUAACAGAAGAGCAUGUCUGAAGAGAGAGGUAAGGAGCAUGUCUGAAGAGAGAGGUAAGGCGCAUGUCUGAAGAGAGAGGUAAGGAGCAUGUCUGAAGAGAGAGGUAAGGAGCAUGUCUGAAGAGAGAGGUAAGGCGCAUGUCUGAAGAGAGAGAGGUAAGGCGCAUGUCUGAAGAGAGAGAGGUAAGGCGCAUGUCUGAAGAGAGAGAGGUAAGGCGCAUGUCUGAAGAGAGAGCAUGUCUGAAGAGAGAGGUAAGGCGCAUGUCUGAAGAGAGAGCAUGUCUGAAGAGAGAGGUAAGGCGCAUGUCUGAAGAGAGAGGUAAGGCGCAUGUCUACCCAGGAAUGGAACCCUGCUCCAGGGCGGCCUGCUGCUGUUGAGUGGCCUGCUGCUGCACCAAAGGAGCCUCAUCUGAUGCCUGAGGAUGGGUCAUACUGGGAGUUAGC
Molecule: long non-coding RNA, 451 nt
Organism: Clupea harengus (Atlantic herring)
Lineage: Eukaryota; Metazoa; Chordata; Actinopteri; Clupeiformes; Clupeidae
Source: Ensembl